ACUGCUGGACAACUUAACUGAACGGGAAGUGACAUUGCUUGGUCCCUCCCCCUCUUGCACACAGGCUUUUCAUUGGCCGCUUGUCAUAGAAUCAGAAGUGAGUGUCACUGAGGCGGCAUUCCAAUCAAGGUUUGAGUUCCCCUCCCUCACUUGCCCUAAGCAGGGCCAUAUGUUAAGAGGGUUACGACACUCCCAUAGGGAUCCAUUAUACGUUUUUACUUCGGGGUAAUUCUGGGUUAUGGAGCCUCGAGUAGUUCCAAACAUGGGACGAGGGCGGACCCCAUUCAUACGAAUGGCUGGCUGUAAAGUAUAUUCGGAGGUAAGUUGAUGAAAAAAACGAUCCCUUUUGAAUUUUCAACCGUCUGUAUUCUAUCAGAGGAGCUUUAUGAUGUAUAUGUUGAGCUUUAUUUGUAUGUGCAUGGUGUAAUCAUAGGUAUAUUUGAUCUUGGUUGACGAGUGAUUUUCUCCUACUUUUUAAGCUGAGUCUGCUAACUAGGAAUGUAUCGCCAGGGAUUGUCAACUCUUUCAGAGGCCCUUUGUGACAUACACACUCAUCUGUAUUUACGCGAGGAGGCGAUACAAGUUAAAAGCAUGUAUUGGCCUUCAAAUCUGCCCAUACAAAGUCGCAGCUGAUAGCUGGAUAAACAAUCCAAAGGAAUUGCCUGCAGUGGAGUCUACAACUACCUCAUAAAGUCACCCAGAAGAAUGAAGAACUUCAAAUGCGGCUCCGAACUGUUCCUUGUGUUACAACCCGCAACACGGCAACUUUUAGUCAUUCCGCCGGAAAAAAAGACCGCAAAUAAGACAAACAUUCAACGCGUUUGCACUACAAUGCACGACAGCAACUGCUUGCGACUCGUGUUUCAAUAUGGCAACGCUUUGUUGUGGCUGGUGACGUCAUUGAUGCCCGGAUGUCCGACUGCGAGAAUGUGUCUGGCGGAGAGGGAAGAAGCGUGCGGAUAACAAACAAGGUUGGAAAAACAGCUUGUUUUGGUGAUUGCUUGUUCGGUGCGGUUGCGGCCAACAGUAACUGUUAAUCCUGUAAUAAAAAAAGUAGGUGAGAUCUCCGUGCAUUCUCUAUAUCCAGUGCGACGCUACAAUAGAUAUUCCCGACAUUUGGAUUGGUUGGGGACGACUCACGUCUGUGUGGGCCGUGCCCACCCCGGUCCCCCCAUACAUCCGGCCCCGAUUUAUAAUACAAAACUAAUGUAUAUAUAUUUUAUUUAGGUUACAUUUUCAUGAUCCACAUCAUGCUGCUGCUGGUGCCUGCUGAUGGCGACUGCUGGCUGUGGGCACUAAGCCCGUUUUUAAAUGGCAACAAACACACAAAAAAGCCUGUAGAAGCCAUAUUCACUGUGACAAUUCAGUGCAUCAAUGUGUUUAUUUUGAAACUGUGUUAUUGUUUUUGCCACCAGGGGGCACCACCAAUGUCAUUAGGUAUUUUACUAUAAAGGUGCGCCUAGAGAGCCACUGUUAUUUAGUGCACCUGGUGGACACACGGUUUUUACCACAGCACGCCAUAGCAUGAGCUGCAUUGGAAAGUGGACUGUUUGCUGAAUGAUUGGAAUAAAUCACCAAACUAAAACCAUCCAUGUGGGCAGUUCUUUGCCGGUAGCCUAUGCGUACAUUCAGGUUCAGAAGGUGUACUCAGUAUUGGCUUGAUUUUGAUUUCAUGUUUGGACGACUGACCAUUGCCAUCCAUUUUUUCUCUUGCUCUUGGUCCUUUGGGAAACCAUGCUGCAUAACCAACCAUCACAGGCCACUGAUCUAUAAAUUGUUAGGCGUGAACAAUGAACCAUGACACCAAUUUCACUAAUUGUUCAAUAAAAAAUAUGAUUUUCUUUAUCAAUGGGU
Long non-coding RNA from Corythoichthys intestinalis (scribbled pipefish), 1854 nucleotides. RefSeq lists it as uncharacterized. The transcript has 3 exons. The record is from RefSeq and is a predicted model, not a curated record. Lineage: Eukaryota; Metazoa; Chordata; Actinopteri; Syngnathiformes; Syngnathidae.